RNAcentral lists this ribosomal RNA (254 nucleotides) under uncultured bacterium. RNAcentral describes it as "partial 16S ribosomal RNA". It matches the Rfam family "Bacterial small subunit ribosomal RNA", at positions 524 to 776 of the family's 1533-position model. The record is from RNAcentral.
UACGUAGGGACCAAGCGUUGUUCGGAUUCACUGGGCGUAAAGGGUGCGUAGGUGGUUGGGUAAGUUUGAUGUGAAAGCUCAGGGCUUAACCCUGAAAUGGCAUUGAAUACUACUUAACUGGAGGUUUGGAGGGGGGACUGGAAUUCUUGGUGUAGCAGUGAAAUGCGUUAGAUAUCAAGAGGAACACCAGUGGCGAAGGCGAGUCCCUGGACAACACCUGACACUGAGGCACGAAAGCUAGGGGAGCAAACAGG